Long non-coding RNA from Meriones unguiculatus (Mongolian gerbil), 992 nucleotides. RefSeq lists it as uncharacterized. The record is from RefSeq and is a predicted model, not a curated record. The transcript is spliced from 3 exons. Lineage: Eukaryota; Metazoa; Chordata; Mammalia; Rodentia; Muridae.
CUUCCCUGGAGCUGGAAGUAUAGGGGUGAUUAAGAAGACAGCAGCAUAGCUGGGGUUCAGUCUUCUGGAAAGUGUUUCCUGAGAGUCAGCACACGGUAGCUGUGUCCUAGACACGGCCAAAGCUGAAUUUGGUAGUCAAAGUCACGCACGCGGUACUCGUUUUAAAAGCAUGAUGGGGUCAUGGACAGCCCCUGCAGCUUGGCACUGUGUGGCAGGGCUGGAGUCCCUGAAAAGAGCUCAGGGGAGUCUGUUGGUAAAAGUGUGUGUCUGUUUCAGCAAGAGACCCCAGCAGUUUUCAAGAUGCCAGUGCCACAGGGUGACCACUAAGGACAGCAGCAGUGGUGGAGUGGAGCCAGUCUGAGCCGAGAAGACAAGCUGUGUGUACUGCAGAGGGCAGAGCCAGAGAAGUGACCCAAGCCUCUUGGAGGAGCCCAGAGGGUUGUCGACAAAGGGUCAGUCGUGCUGGGUAUUUCUUGUCAAUCUGAUACAAGCUAAAACAUCUGGAAGCUCAAUUAAGAAAAUGCCUCCAUAAGAUCAGACUGUAGCCUCGGCUGGAAGACAAGGAUGCCCAUAAUGAAGAAAUCCAGACCUCCAGUUUCUAAAAGAAAAUGCACUUAGAUCUUGUUGAUGAUUUGCAUUUUCUGGAAGAACAAUAAUUCAAUCUUUUGGACUUUCUGAAUCUAAGAUACAUUAAAAAGAAAGAAAGAAAGAAAAAAAAAGAUAUCUGAGGAGCCUACCAGGGUUCUGGAAUGACACCAAAAGACACAGUCUCCACCCAUUUUCUUUGUACCUGGGCUCUGCAGCUUCACCGCAUCUGUUUGUGCUUUGCUCCCCUUUCAUAGCAGCAGGCAGAAAAGAUUUAUUAGUAAAAUAAAAAGGCACAGCUAAGUGAUACACAGUCACGUGAAACAAGGAAAAAUGGAGCAACCUCUUUAGGCCCCUUGACCCUUAUAAUAGCUUGUUGCCCAUCAUAUCAUGUGGCCACCUGUAUA